Pelobates cultripes (western spadefoot toad) is the source of this 230-nucleotide non-coding RNA. NCBI's taxonomy places the organism in Eukaryota, Metazoa, Chordata, Amphibia, Anura, Pelobatidae. The record is from the annotation of a GenBank genome assembly.
CACAGUUAAUACAUAUACACACAGACGUAGUUGUAACCAGACAAGUUGGCCACAGGAACAGAGGGGUUGAGGGCCCUGCUCAAUGAGCUUACAUGCUAGAGGGAGUGGAGUAAAAUGACACAAAAAGGUAAGGAUAGUAUUAUACUAGUGAGGAAACAGUCAGGAGUUAUUAACAGUUUAAUUGAUACGCUUUUAUGAAGAAGUGGGUUUUUAAUGAUUUUUUGAAGGAG